CCUACGUGCGGCAGCAGUGAGGAAUAUUGGUCAAUGGGCGAGAGCCUGAACCAGCCAAGUCGCGUGAGGGAGUACUGCCCUAUGGGUUGUAAACCUCUUUUCUCGGGGAGCAAAAUCCGGACGUGUCCGGAUGUGAGUGUACCCGAAGAAAAAGCAUCGGCUAAAUCCGUGCGAGCAGCCGAGGUAAUACGGAGGAUGCCAGCGUUAUCCGGUUUUAUUGGGUUUAAAGGGUGCGAAGGCGGAUUUUUAAGUCAGCGGUAAAAUCGUGGGGCUCAACCCAAUCCAGCCGUUUAUACUGGGGAUCUAGAGUGUGCGAGAGGUAUGCGGAAUGCGUGGUGUAGCGGUGAAAUGCAUAGAUAUCACGCAGAACCCCGAUUGCGAAGGCAGCAUACCGGUGCACAACUGACGCUCAGGCACGAAAGCGUGGGUAUCGAACAGGAUUAGAUACCCUUGUAGUC
Molecule: ribosomal RNA, 458 nt
Filed under: uncultured bacterium
Lineage: Bacteria
Description: partial 16S ribosomal RNA
Rfam family: Bacterial small subunit ribosomal RNA
Source: RNAcentral